UCCUCUUGUCUUGUGGAAGCAAUUAAUGGAUGGUACAUUGGUACUCAAAUAUUCUUUUGUGAAAUUUACUAACAAAGUAAAAGUUUCUUAGUCUAAAUCUUUUAAUUGAUUAUUUGUAGAGAAAAAAAAAAUAUGACCACAAAAGAUUAUGUCCAAAAAUAUUGUAAUAUUUGACCUAUUCCAAUUUUAAUUUGUUUUAAAAUCAUUUCCCAAAAAUUUCACUACAAUUUUUUUUCUAAGAAAAUUCUUACAUGAUGUAUCUAAAAAUCGAUAACGGCUAAUUUAUUUUAGGGAAAAUUGGAUAAAAAAAUAAAUAAUUGAAAUAUUGUCCAUCUAACGCAUGCAAUAUCAUUGAUAAUUUUUAUUCAAAUACGAAAGCGACGAAGCACUCACUUUACUUAGGAUCCUUUACUUAAUAUCAUAAUAUAAAUAAAAUCUUAUCUACUGACUACAUUUAAAGGAAAAACCUUAUCUAAAACUGCUACAAUUCAUAGAAUGAGACUUUGAAAAACUUUCUCUCCCAGGCACGGUACCCAAGGAGGAUAUUAGAAGUAUGUCUCCCGCUUUUAACCAGAUCUAUGUUUCCUUUUGCAUCCCAAAAGUGGAAACUUCCAACGGUUAUUAACCAACCCUAAUGAGCUCCGACGAGAUUUUGGGUGAUUCCGACGUCUCCUCCUCCGCUUAUCCCCUCUGUUUCAAGCUCUAAUUUGGUUUUACAUCUUACUCCCACUCUCCUCAAGAGUUCUCUCAGGUAGUUUUCUGGUUUCUCACUAUGUCUUGUCUGCCUGUGUACUCUUGUCUCUUAACCUGUUAAACCUGUGCAAGCUUUUAACCCUUUUAAACCUUACUGCUUCUCCGAGAGCAUUUAUUUGAGUCCUGAAGAACUAUCUCCCCAACCUCUUAGCCCACAAUCUUUACUACACUCACCUGCACCCUUAAAUAUUCUUUUGUGAAAUUUACUAACAAAGUAAAAGUUUCUUAGUCUAAAUCUUUUAAUUGAUUAUUUGUAAAGAAAAAAAAAUAUGACCACAAAAGAUUAUGUCCAAAAAUAUUGUAAUAUUUGACCUAUUCCAAUUUUAAUUUGUUUUAAAAUUAUUUCCCAAAAAUUUCACUACAAUUUUUUUUCUAAGAAAAUUCUUACAUGAUGUAUCUAAAAAUAGAUAACAGCUAAUUUAGUUUUAAGGAAAAUUGGAUAAAAAGAAUA
Molecule: small RNA, 1204 nt
Filed under: Arabidopsis thaliana (thale cress)
Lineage: Eukaryota; Viridiplantae; Streptophyta; Magnoliopsida; Brassicales; Brassicaceae
Description: ATSL056060
Source: RNAcentral